Long non-coding RNA from Carassius auratus (goldfish), 565 nucleotides. RefSeq lists it as uncharacterized. The record is from RefSeq and is a predicted model, not a curated record. Lineage: Eukaryota; Metazoa; Chordata; Actinopteri; Cypriniformes; Cyprinidae. The transcript has 3 exons.
UUCUGCUGUUGAUUGCACUUCUUGUACUUUAUUGUCUAAUUAAGGUCAGAAUAUAGGCUAUAAUUUAAUUCCUUAAACAUAUUAGUAUAGUUUAUUGUAGGUUUUUGAUAUGUGUGUUUUCAUGUAAAUGUUUAAUGUCUACUCUCUUUCGAACACACAUUUAGCAGUCAGUUGUGUUUAUAACAGACAUCAGCAGAACGUGGCUUCUCUUGAACAUACGUCAGCACACACAGCAGAUAUUUAAGUUGGAACAGGCAAGACCAAAACAGAUCUAAAACAACAAGCGCACGACCCUGUCCAAGAUGAUGAUGCUUUUAGUUGCUCUUUUCCUUGGGAACAUUCCUUCAUUUGCUUUCUCUGCAUCAUCCCAGCCACAUAUUAAUUGUCUUGUCAUAAAUCUGGACUAUGUUAACUGCACAUGGACUGAGCAUGAGCACAAUUACACUUUCAGGAGCAGGUUUACUCACAGAGAAACUCUGGAUUGUCCAGAAUAUCUCAGGAUUGAUGGUGUUAACGUGGGCUGUGUAUUCCCCUACAAAACAGCACAGCGGUUUAAUACAUUAGA